Pseudopodoces humilis (Tibetan ground-tit) is the source of this 451-nucleotide non-coding RNA. The record is from RefSeq and is a predicted model, not a curated record. NCBI's taxonomy places the organism in Eukaryota, Metazoa, Chordata, Aves, Passeriformes, Paridae.
CGGUGCGGUGCCACCACUCCGGUGUCACCCCUCCCCACCGCACCCCGGCUCACCGGGGCAGGGCCCCGCUAUUUAAUAGGUGCUCGACAGCCGGGAGUGCCGUGCCAAGGACGGGGAUCCCGAGUGCUGCCGGCAUUGCCUCUUCUGGGAACUUUUCUGCAGCUUGGAGACCGCUGAGGAUGUGUGACCACAACCAAGGCCCACCAAAAGCAUACCUUGCAGUGUGCCCACCCGCCCCUCCAGGAUACCGUGGUCCUGACAGAAGUCCCUACCCUCCUGGUGUUGCAGUUUGCCCUGCUGCCCCUCCAGGAUACCGUGGUCCUGGCGAGAACCUGGCAGUCUGCCCCCCGGGCCCUGCUCCUCCUGGCCAGCACCCCCAUGGGCACCCCCCAUCGGGGCAUCAUCUCCAUGGGCACCAGGAGCACCAUAAAAAACACUGAAAGCACCAUGA